This is a long non-coding RNA of Chiroxiphia lanceolata (lance-tailed manakin), 2141 nucleotides long. RefSeq lists it as uncharacterized. The transcript is spliced from 3 exons. The record is from RefSeq and is a predicted model, not a curated record. NCBI's taxonomy places the organism in Eukaryota, Metazoa, Chordata, Aves, Passeriformes, Pipridae.
AGGUGUGUGGGGGCUGAGGACACGCCGCUUGAUGGGGGUCCGUGGGGUGCUGCCAUACAGCAUCUCUGUUUCUAUCUGCCGGCUCUUCUUCAGGUGCUGCGGGAGACACGUGCACUUACACACCUGAACACCGUGGAGUUGGUGCACCUCUGUGCCACUGCCAGUGGGCACUGCCCUGCCAACAGCUUGGCAAGGCCAUGCAGCAGGAAUUUCACCAAAGAUUUACAGGCGGUACAGCUGCCACUGCUCUGACACGUAUUCCAUGAACUGCUGCCCCUUAACCAGGAAAGGCUCCUUGAACUCCUGCUCCCAGGCUUGGACCUUUCUCUCCAGCUCCUCCUGCAGCUGAUCAGGACAUGAGCUGCCUGGCCAGCUGGCACCCACCAUCAUAGAAGGGGCUGAAGCCUUCCCUCUGCUCCUGGCUGUAGAAACAUUUGUCCCAGUAGUCAGCCAGCUCUGCCCGGAUUGCCUGGAUCACGGAUUUCAUGUUCUGCAGCUUCAGCUCCUCCAGGUGGUCCACUUCCAACUGCAGCUGCUCCCAGGAUCAGAGCACAGGUCAGGGAGAAAGAGGAGGGGCAGAACAGGAUUCAUCUUCUGCACAAGCCACUUUCUAGGAUGAGGCAGCUGCCAGCACCAACCCUCAGCUCCUCCCCCCACGAGGGCAGGAUUUGGCCCACUCCCUUCACCACUGACUGAGCAAACAGGAGCAUGAGAGCCCCAGGAGCUACUACCCCCAGCCCUCCUGCCUUGGGCAUAGCAGGGUCCUUACAGCUCUCCUGGUUUUGGCUCUGGACCCAUCCAUGUGCACAGCCGAGGUCUCUCUCUCCUCCUGUGGGAUCUGCAGCCUUUCCCAGAGCGCGACAAUCCUGGAGCGCAGCUCUGCGCACACGGCCUCGUUCAGAGCCCGCCGGGCUUCCAGCUGCAGGCAGGGGGAGCAGGGGGUCAGUGCAGCCCUUGGCUCUGCUACACCCGCAAAGCCAUGCACUUGGCACCCAAGAUCACCCCCCAAAAGGAUGUUCUGACAUACAGCCUUGCCCAAAAGCCAGCCGUCACUCUUGCCUUGUGAUGGCAGCUGGUGUCAGAACCCACAGCAGCCCCAAAUGCUGCCUCAGUGCACAGCGUACCUGCUGCAGCAGGUUCUGGAGGGCCACGAUGUUGUCCUUGGACAGGCAGAACUCCUCCUCGUUCUCGCACACCACGUCCCGCUCGAAGCUGGUGUCCGGGGUGUGGUCCAGCUCCUCCAUGAGCAGGAUGAUCUGACGCUUGUUGCUGACAAACUCUUCCCGCCUUUGCUCCUGGGGGUGAGGGGCAGUGUCAGGAACCAGUGGGCCCCUCUUGGGUCCUUCACCAACCCCCUCAGUCUCUCCGCUCACCUUCAGGGUGUUGAGGGAGGCCACGUGGCGCCGGUAGCAGUCCAGGUCCUCCAGGCUGGGCACAGCACUGCUGUCAAUGCUGAACAGGGCUGUGCAUAGGAUAUCACACAGGUCCCGGUCCUGUUCCUGCAGGGCCUUCAGCUCCUGCUUCCGAUCCUGCUUCUGCCUCUGCAGCUCCUCCACACGCAUGCGCAGAUUCUUCUCCAUCUGCAGGAUGGUACUUUCCUCCUCUGUCUGCAAGAGGCCAGAAAUCAGCUCUGCUCUACACCUUUCCCACACCUAGCUCAUGUUUUAGGAUUUUAAAUGAAGUCCAGGGACACAAGCCCUGGGUCUGGGCAAGAUGUUCCCCAGGAAGCUGCAAACAGAGCAGCAAUACACAAAAUGAGGCGACGGAGAACGCCUCACAACUGCUUCUCAACGCCUGGCCUGUAAGGAGCCACAAAGCCCUCAGCUCUACCAAGCACCCAGUUUUGAACAGGCAUUUGCUUUGUGAGAUCUGGCCUCUUGAUACACCUAGGCAGGGUGGCAGCAGGAUCCCAGCAGGGAGAAGCAACACCUCACCUCAAAGGGGCCCAGCUGGAGCUCACUGCACAAGGUGUCCAGCUCCUUCCGGCACACGGCGAUGCUCUUCAGGAGACGCUCCUUCAGGCUCUGCUCCUCCGCCACCAUCAUGUCCAGGAGACUCUGUGGCACAGGCGUGGUUCAAUGCAGGGGGUGAGGAUGGAGAGCACGCAGGGAACAUGCAGGUAGAGCAGGCAGAGCAGCAGG